GAUGAAGAACGUAGCGAAAUGCGAUAAGUAAUGUGAAUUGCAGAAUUCAGUGAAUCAUCGAAUCUUUGAACGCUCCUUGCGCUCCUUGGUAUUCCGAGGAGCAUGCCUGUUUGAGUGUCAUUAAAUUCUCAACCUCACCAACUUUGUUGUGUGAAGGCUUGGAUGUGGGGGUUGCAGGUCCGCACUCGUGUGGUCUGCUCCUCUAAAACGUAUUAGUGGGUUAGUCCCCUAAUCUAUUGGUGUGAUAAUUAUCUACGCCGUGGAUUUGGCAGGCUAUCAUAGACCUGCUUCUAACCGUCCUCUGGACAACUUUGACAAUUUUGACCUCAAAUCAGGUAAGACUACCCGCUGAACUUAAGCAUAUCAAUAAGCGGAGGA
This 378-nucleotide unclassified non-coding RNA is filed under the name soil metagenome. Its description in RNAcentral is "partial contains 5.8S ribosomal RNA, internal transcribed spacer 2, and large subunit ribosomal RNA". The stretch from base 1 to 120 matches the Rfam family "5.8S ribosomal RNA", at positions 35 to 154 of the family's 154-position model. The record is from RNAcentral.